GUGGAUGACAUUCACCGCGUGCCUUAAUAUUUUUGUUAUGAAUAAUAUUUAUAACUCAUCAAGGCAAUCGCGGAAAAUGGCAUACA
Molecule: microRNA precursor, 86 nt
Filed under: Schistosoma mansoni
Lineage: Eukaryota; Metazoa; Platyhelminthes; Trematoda; Strigeidida; Schistosomatidae
Source: RNAcentral